Transfer RNA from Chania multitudinisentens RB-25, 85 nucleotides. It matches the Rfam family "tRNA". Rfam says of the family: Transfer RNA (tRNA) molecules are approximately 80 nucleotides in length. The record is from Rfam. NCBI's taxonomy places the organism in Bacteria, Pseudomonadati, Pseudomonadota, Gammaproteobacteria, Enterobacterales, Yersiniaceae.
GGAAGGAUGGCCGAGUGGUUUAAGGCAACGGUCUUGAAAACCGUCGACGGGCGACUGUCCCAGAGUUCGAAUCUCUGUCCUUCCG